Oncorhynchus masou masou (cherry salmon) is the source of this 991-nucleotide long non-coding RNA. RefSeq lists it as uncharacterized. NCBI's taxonomy places the organism in Eukaryota, Metazoa, Chordata, Actinopteri, Salmoniformes, Salmonidae. The transcript has 8 exons. The record is from RefSeq and is a predicted model, not a curated record.
UGAGUUGUACAACUGACCAGGUAUCCCAUUUUCUCUGGGAGAAAGAUACAAUGUGGUUAUAGCUAUAUGGUUCCCCUGCAUCAUACGAAAGUGCACUGGGCCUGCAACUGUAUCCUCAGUGAGCGUGUGCAGGCCUUCCUGUUACCCUCUAUCACCACUGCCAUUAAAACAAGUGAGUGUUCAUGUUAUGGGACACAGGCCUCCUGAAGGUAUCACAGACUACUGAAGUGCACUGGGCCUGCAACUGUAUCCUCAGUGAGCGUGUGCAGGCCUUCCUGUUACCCUCUAUCACCACUGCCAUUAAAACAAGUGAGUGUUCAUGUUAUGGGACACAGGCCUCCUGAAGGUAUCACACACUACUGAAGUGCACUGGGCCUGCAACUGUAUCCUCAGUGAGCGUGUGCAGGCCUUCCUGUUACCCUCUAUCACCACUGCCAUGAAAACAAGUGAGUGUUCAUGUUAUGGGACACAGGCCUCCUGAAGGUAUCACAGACUACUGAAGUGCACUGGGCCUGCAACUGUAUCCUCAGUGAGCGUGUGCAGGCCUUCCUGUUACCCUCUAUCACCACUGCCAUGAAAACAAGUGAGUGUUCAUGUUAUGGGACACAGGCCUCCUGAAGGUAUCACAGACUACUGAAGUGCACUGGGCCUGCAACUGUAUCCUCAGUGAGCGUGUGCAGGCCUUCCUGUUACCCUCUAUCACCACUGCCAUGAAAACAAGUGAGUGUUCAUGUUCUGGGACACAGGCCUCCUGAAGGUAUCACAGACUACUGAAGUGCACUGGGCCUGCAACUGUAUCCUCAGUGAGCGUGUGCAGGCCUUCCUGUUACCCUCUAUCACCACUGCCAAGUCUGAAUAUCUACACAUAUCAAUGUAAAUGUUUAGUCUGAAUAUCUACACAUAUCAAUGUAAAUGUUUAGUCUGAAUAUCUACACAUAUCAAUAUAAACAUCAGCAUGUAAACUAGGACCUAUAGUUGUAUUGGAUGUGUU